Molecule: long non-coding RNA, 5621 nt
Filed under: Sus scrofa (pig)
Lineage: Eukaryota; Metazoa; Chordata; Mammalia; Artiodactyla; Suidae
Description: lncRNA (ENSSSCG00015051820.1)
Source: RNAcentral
AUUAUAGUUGAUUUACAUUCUUCUGUCAAUUUCUGUUGUACAGCAAAGUAACCCAGUUAUACAUACAUACGCAGUUUUUUUCCCACAUUAUCCUCCAUCAUGUUCCAUCACAAGUGAUCAGAUAUAGUUCCUUGGGCUAUACAGCAGAAUCCCAUCGCUUAUCCAUUCCAAAUGCAGUAGUUUGCAUCUAUGAACCCCAAAUUCCCAGUGCCUCCCAAUCCCUCCCCCUCAGCAACCACAAGUCUGUUCUCCGUGUCCAUGAGUUUGUUUCUUUUCUGCAGAUGGGUUCAUUUGUGCCAUAUAUUACAUUCCAGAUAUAAGAGAUAUCAUAGAGUAUUUGUCUUUCUCCUACUAACUUCACUUAGCAUGAGUCUCUAGUUCCAUCCAUGUUGUUGCAAAUGGCGUUAUUGUGUUCUUUAUUUUUUAUUUUUAAUGAUUUUUUUCCAUUAUAGCUGGCUUACAGUGUUCUGUCAAUUUUCUACUGUACAGCAAGGUGACCUAGUUACACAUGCGUAUAUACCUUCUUUUUUCUCCCAUUAUCCUGCUCCAUCAGAAGUGACUACACAUAGUUCCCAGCACUACACAGCAGGAUCUCAUUGCUCAUCCAUUCCAAAGGCAACAGUCUGCAUCUACAUGGCAUCACUUAUAUCUGGAAUCUAAUAUACAGCACAAAUGAACCUUUCCACAGAAAAGAAAAUCAUGGACUUGGAGAAUAACUAUUUAAAAUAUACUUAUUUUAUAGUGUCCUUAAGAUUAUUCUAUUACAUCUAAUUUGCGGUGCUAAUUCUCUGGUUUGCUGGGUUUUCUAACUGUCCCUCCCAACGGGUGCACCAGUCCAUAUGCAUUCACAAUCUUUCUCUGUAGCAAGUUAUUUUAUUUUCCUGGAGUCCUGUGAGUCAUUAGCUGUGAGGAUGAACCUGUGGGCAGGUUUUACUUUUGUCUCGGCUGAGGAUUCUGGAGAUUUCAAAGAUUCUAGACACAUUUCGAUAUUAAUUGUUUGGCGUGGGUUUCCUCUGCCAUACGGGUACUGUGAAUGCGAAUUCAACAUUGAGUAGGGUGCAGUCCUGGGUUUUUCAUUUCCUGCAGAUGACCUCUUUCCACUCAAGAGCCCAUGUGCCGGCCUCCUCAUAACUUCCCUGGGCCGGGGUUGCUUCCUUAGCAAUCGUCCCAGUCCCCUUUUCAGAAGCUGGAUGGAAGGGCUGUCUGAGACGGCCGCUCCCCUGCAUCUUCAAGGUCUGGAGCCUCAUGUCCUAUGCCACACAGGCAUCAGAACCCCAGCCCUCAGCUCUGGGGCUUGUAUCGGGGUGUGAACUCGUCGUGUCUGCUGCGGCGCACGUUUGGCCUUGCUGCUCUAACUCCGAUUCCUUUCUUCCUGUCUGGCAUUUGGGGAUUGCCCUUUCGUUCUUUUCUGAGGUCAUAUAUGUAUUUAAAUUCUGAGGAUUUGUCUUUAUAGCACUACUAUGUGUUAGUAUGAGGAGAGAGGUCUUGGUCUGCUUUACUGUUGGAAGGAGUCUGCUAUUGAUUCUUUUCAGAAGGUCUCAGAAGAACUCUCCAAUCACCUUACACUGAUUGACUUCGGUGUUGCUGUGAUGGGGGUUGGGGGGUGGGGAGAGUGAUCUAUGUGACAUUCCUAAUAUAGAGUGACUAUCCCAUCAUGCAAAGAAAUCAUAGAGACACACAAUUUAUGUAAAAUUAGUCUCAAGAAGACAUGAUAUACCUCUGGAUGUUCUCAAUGAUAUACAAUGUAUCUUGAAAUUAGGGUCAGAAAUCAGUGACCUUUGCAUUCUGACGAACAUGUCCCUGGGAUAAAUUGCAUUUUUAUUACAUUAUAUUACAUCACUGCAAUUAGAUGAGACUCUUUUGGGAUUUUGAAUGCUUUUCUUUAACAUUUAAAAUAUGCAUGUAUAUUAUUUAUAUGCAUGUCAUACAUGGCAAUUUGAGGGUUCUAUAAACAAAAUUCAUACAUAAAAAUGAGAAAAAAAUGUGAUAAUUCACUAAUUGAAAGAAUUAAGCAAAUGAGACCAUCACAUUGGGCCUUGGACGAAAGAUCACUUUUGUUUAAUUUAUAAUAUUCCAAGAGAAAAAAAAGAAAUUCUUAAAAACAAAAAUGAUUUUUGAGAGCUAAUUUCCAAAAAGCAAACUUAGUAAUAUAUAGAAAUCAUGGCAUGAAAUUACUCACAGUUUUUGCAAGCAAUUAUUAUGGUAUAAUAGAGGGUUAUAUUUUCCGUGUUGGAUGGUUAUGAAAAAUGAUAAAAAGCAUCCUUUUGGCUUUUUUCAGCUCCCUUGGGAAAGAUGCUGAUAAGAAAGAAAGACAAGGAGGAAAAAAUGCUAGAAUUCUGUAACACAAACAAGACACACAAGCCAUUUUCUUAACUUCACACUGUUCAGGAGAAUGACAAAACACCAAUUUCCACAAGAUGGUCUGUCUUGCAAAUAUGGAACACUUCCCAUUCAAAUAGGUAUCUGGGGCAUUCUGGGUAAGCCAGCCAAAACGGGUAGCAAGAGCAUGUAAAUUAAAGUAGCAACCUUUCCCAUCCCGAGUACUCAUCCGUGCCACUGACACACUGCAGAAAGGAUGCCAGACCUGCCACUGACAGAAAUCUCACGUCUGUAGCCUGCUGCGAGAUCUCUGAAAAGCACCGCUUUCAGCAUGUAGGAUUCCUUUCUUGGUGACAAGAAGUUGAGCGGAGGAAAUAACAUACCAUUUGGUGUCCUCUGGGCAGGUCUGUGAACAGACUUGUGCUGAGCCCCUGUGUUGCUUUUCAAGAUGUUCAAGAUCUGUAUGUGCUAUGUGCUGCAACAUCCAAGUGGCAUAUAAACAAACCGGUGUUGACUUCCAGGAAAAUGCAAUUACCAUUUUAGGAGAACCAUCACAUUUGCCUCAACCCAAAUGAUUUGCAAAAUGACAAACUGCAGCUUCUCAGUAUGGCUUGUAAGACAACCACCUGACCCCCAGAAGUGCAGACGUAGCACAACCUCAAAUAAGGCCUGGGCUAUGGCAGCAGACACUGUCAGGGGGUCGGCCUAUGUCCCCUCGUCCUUACCAUUUCAGUGCAGUCCAGCCUGACUUCCACUUGCCAGUGCCCCCCCCCGAAGUUUGCAUUGCCCUCUCAUGUGGCAGGCUAGAAGUGCUGGGGAAGUAACGCCAGUUGCCUGCCCACAGUGAUAAUUGGCUUGAUACCACACUCUUCACUGGCAGCCUUCCCUCCUUGUUUCGCGUUCCUGCUUCCCUACUGUGUUUCCUCGGGCCAACUCUCCAACCAGCUCCCAUGUACCUGAGUCCCUGUUUCGGCGUCAGCCUCUGGAGGAACACAAGCUAAGACAAUUACCUUUUAUUAGAGGUCCUGGCACCUUGGCAUUUGGGCAGGCUUCAAGAUGUCAGGGUUUUAGUUGAGAAGGACGAAUAUUAGAAUACGGUUUCAUAUGCACCCCUAUGUUCACGAUUUACAAUAGGCAAGAUACAGAAGUACCCUAGGUGUUCAUCAACAGAUGAGUGGAUACUUUUGUGAUAUAUAUAUAUAUCUCGAAUAUUAGCCAGAAUGGAAUUAAUAUCGAUCCAAAUACCAGUUAAAAUAACCAGACUCUUGUUUGAAAGCAACAGAGGUGCUCUGGUGGCCUUGGGUCUUGUGGGCUUCAGAACACAUGUGAAAAUGAUCAUUUUUACCAUCGAUUGAACAAACGUUUACUGAGCGCCUAGCAGGUAGGAGGCACUAUUACAAGCACUUUACCUGUAGUGACUUACCUAAUCACCACGAAAUGCUAAGAAAUAAGCAUUAUUGUUAUCACCCCUGUCUUAUGGCUAGGGAAACUGAGAGAUGACGUAAAGGUCCCAGGGAUCCCGAUCUUGUGCUUACACUUCGAAGGAAGGGCAGUACGGCUGGCCUUGCGGGAGCUGGGAUCGAGCUGCGGGAUCUCGUCACUGGUCGCUCACGACUUCAUGGCUUCUUUGUCUGGGCUCUGCGUUUCUGGGACUCUUAGACUCUGAAAACUAUGUUAGGUUCCACAUUUGAAGAGAGGUGGAUAAGGUGACAGGCUUUUUUGUUUCCUUUGAAAGCUUUUAAAAUUGAAGAAUAACACACACAAAGACAAGGGCACAAAUCCUAAGUAGACAGCUCAAUGAAUUGUUACAAAGUAAACACAGAUCAAGAUACGCAACAGGAGGCUUUUCCGAGGGCUCUGGCGGUCUCCUUACCAUCCUAUGGUUCACAGGCCAGUAUCAAGAGUGACAAUAAAUCAUGCUGAGAGUAUGUGCUGUUGAGAGGACGUGAUGAAAAUGGCACUUUGUCACUGUGAUCUUCCUUCCCUAACCCGUAACUCUAGUCAAAUCAUAAGAAAAAAAAAAUCAACCAAAUCCAAGGGGUGGGGGAGGGCAUCCAACAAAAUACCUGAUCAGCCUCCUCAAGGUCAUCGAAAACAAGGAAAGUCUGAGAAACCAUCAUAGCCAAGAGGAGCCCAAAGAUACAUUACAUGAAUUCUGAUAUCCAGAGAAAAAGGGCAUUAUGUAAAAGCACAGGAAAUGUGAAUCAACUACGGUCUUCAGUUAACAACGAUGUAUUGAUAUUAUUUUGUUAAUUGUAAUUGGUCACAACAGUUUUGGAUCAAUACACAACCUUGUUUUAUGUGUGUUUCUGUUUAAAGACUCCGCUAGGGAUCGAACUCACGCCACAGCAGCGACCUGAGCCAUUGCAGGGACAAUGCCAGAUCUUAACUUGCUAAGCCACACGGGAACUGCUGACACUUCAUUUGAUACAUAGUUGAUUCAUUAAUAUUGAAUAUUCAUGGCAAAUAGCCUUCCCUUUUUGUAAACAAAGCUUAUCUAACUCCUACAUUUUCUCCAUCAGGCGUCUCACAGCUUUCUGGUUCUUAGGAGCACUAGACAGCACUUCAGCACUAUGCUUAGGGGGCAUUUGAAACACAAAAUCACUUGAAAAAGGCACAAAAAUGGGAAAAUUAUGGCACAAAACAGACCACAAAAAGGAUACUUGCUCGCAGUAUGAGAGUAGAUACGAGAAGGCAGAGUCUUCUUCCACCUUAGCUGGGAACGCGUGCAUUGGACAACUCAAACUUUUUAGCUUGUGUACAUGCCUUGCUUACAAAGGGCCACAGAAGUGUCACGAGUAUCCAUUUGGGAGUCAUGCAUAAAUUUUAGUGAGUAGGUGAGAAAUCACAAAUAUGGGAUCCAUGAAAAACAGGGAUCAACUAUAUAUUUAUUCUAAAAACUCUAUGAAUACAUUCCCCAAUAACUUAAGUUCUUUUGACAACCCAUUACAGAUGGCUCAUUUCUGAAUUUGUGUAACUUGCUAAAAUUUAUCUAUUUAUCUAUCUAGUUUUUUAUUUAGUCUAUACUUGUGCUAUACAGUAGCCAUAUGUGGCUGUUAGUACUUUAAAUGUGGCUGAUCUAAGCUAAGAUGUGCUACAAGGAUUCACACCAGAUUUUGAAAGCUUAGUACAAAAAAAGUAUGAAAAAAGAAUGUAAAUGAUCUCAUUAAUAAUUUUAAUCUUGAUUACAUGUUAAAAUAAUUAUAUUUUAAUAUAAAUGGUUAAAUAAAAUACUAACAUUAAUUUCACCUGUUUCUUUUUAUGUUUAUAAUGUGACCACUAGAAAAAAAUGACGCAUGUGA